Symphalangus syndactylus (siamang) is the source of this 245-nucleotide long non-coding RNA. RefSeq lists it as uncharacterized. The record is from RefSeq and is a predicted model, not a curated record. NCBI's taxonomy places the organism in Eukaryota, Metazoa, Chordata, Mammalia, Primates, Hylobatidae.
GGAACACUGGGCUGCCUGGAGUUGCCUGUGGCCGCCAAUGCGCUUGGCGCCUCGGGGCGGCCACUUAUGGAUUGUUGGGAAGUUCUUGUCCAGAACUUCCUGUGGCCUAGGAGUUCCUACCUGAGCAGCAGGGUGGCUGAGACAGGCCAACAACACCAACGCCUGCAGGAAUGGAGGGAAUUUAUCUGACUUCCACCCGGUCAGCGUGCAAAACUAACCCAAGUACAGGGGUAGAAGAAACGUGG